Molecule: unclassified non-coding RNA, 407 nt
Filed under: Hevea brasiliensis (rubber tree)
Lineage: Eukaryota; Viridiplantae; Streptophyta; Magnoliopsida; Malpighiales; Euphorbiaceae
Source: RNAcentral
UUGUAAUCGACUCUUGUACAAAUGAAGCAUGCCUUUAGAGGUAUUAGUGUCCACACUAGCCAAUGCAGUUCCAUUGACAUGAGAAAGUUGUCCAAUGUUAUUUUGUCUUUGCUGAAAAAUAUCCAUAUUUGGAGGUCUAUCCCCCACCUUACACUUUGAUGUCGCAGCACCAGGAGCAGAUGAAGGAAGGUUGCGGCGUUGAGGAAGAUUGAAAUGAUCAUAGGCGAUAUGGGCAGCAUGAUUUUGGGCUUCUUUGGAAGAACGGCAUUGGUCCUUGGGCGACUCGAAGGAGACUCCAUUCACUACAACAGUGGCUGUGAAACGAGGGUUGUGAUCAGGGCCGUCUUUCUCCGUCGCGUACUCUGGCAAAUUCCAUUCGAAUUGAUGGCAAAGCUCUUGUAGCUUCG